UGUGCCGCGGCGGCAUCUGUUGGCACGGCGUCGCUGUCAAAUCGUCGGCUUCUCAGGUCCGCUUUCGACUUCCACAGCAACCUCCCAACCUACGCCCGUAAAAUGAUAUCAAAAUAUUGAAUCCUACACCCAACUGCUAAGGUUAAUUUUCCAGACCCUGUAAUAUACGCAAUCUCGCUUCCUCUCCCUCUCUCCCUCUCUUUCCCUGUGAAAUUUUUGCCCUUUUUGAUCCGGAGAACUGAAAUCAUACUGUGUAUAAAUAAUACACCGAAACUGUGUG
This 280-nucleotide long non-coding RNA is filed under the name Vitis vinifera (wine grape). RNAcentral's name for it is "long non-coding RNA (VVIN_LNC006096)". The record is from RNAcentral. Lineage: Eukaryota; Viridiplantae; Streptophyta; Magnoliopsida; Vitales; Vitaceae.